UACGGGAGGCAGCAGUGGGGAAUAUUGCACAAUGGGCGCAAGCCUGAUGCAGCCAUGCCGCGUGUAUGAAAAAGGCCUUCGGGUUGUAAAGUACUUUCAGUCGUGAGGAAGGUGUUAAGGUUAAUAACCUUAGCAAUUGACGUUAGCGACAGAAGAAGCACCGGCUAACUCCGUGCCAGCAGCCGCGGUAAUACGGAGGGUGCGAGCGUUAAUCGGAAUUACUGGGCGUAAAGGGCACGCAGGCGGUUAAUUAAGUUGGAUGUGAAAUCCCCGGGCUUAACCUGGGAAUGGCAUUCAAGACUGGUUAGCUAGAGUCUUGUAGAGGGGGUAGAAUUCCAUGUGUAGCGGUGAAAUGCGUAGAGAUGUGGAGGAAUACCGGUGGCGAAGGCGGCCCCUGGACAAAGACUGACGCUCAUGUGCGAAAGCGUGGGGAGCAAACAGGGAUUAGAUAC
RNAcentral lists this ribosomal RNA (452 nucleotides) under uncultured bacterium. RNAcentral's name for it is "bacterial SSU rRNA". It matches the Rfam family "Bacterial small subunit ribosomal RNA", at positions 340 to 785 of the family's 1533-position model. The record is from RNAcentral.